RNAcentral lists this long non-coding RNA (1277 nucleotides) under Theobroma cacao (cacao). RNAcentral's name for it is "long non-coding RNA (TCAC_LNC001353)". The record is from RNAcentral. Lineage: Eukaryota; Viridiplantae; Streptophyta; Magnoliopsida; Malvales; Malvaceae.
GGGUGAUCUGCAGAGUCUCAAGCAGGCUAUCGUAAGUCAAACAGCUAGGCUCAAACACGAACAUGCCGGCGUUGAAGUACAGAGGAGGAGGAGAUCCCAUCUCCGCCGGCCAUGUCACCUUAUCAGGGCACUGCUGGCAGUAACCAAUAGAGUAUUGGCGUGAAUGGCUCCAUACCUUCUCGCAAAAGCAGUCCAUUACAGCAUAGAAGUAGCCGUCUGGUGUGUCAAGAAGAUGGUCUAUGUUCUCGUACACUUGAAUAUCCGCAUCCAAAUACACCAUCUUGCUGUACUCCUCGAACUGUUAACAUGAUCGGUUGUAUCAUCAAAAUUUACGCCACCUCAGACUAAAACCAUGGAUUUCUUUUACAAUAUUCCAUUAAGACAUUUAACUCAGGGUUUUUAUUACUUGAAUCUGCAAACUACUCUUUGGUUCCUAGAUUCUGGGAUCAGAGAUAGACUGGAUUGAUGGGAGAUCAAGCUAAUUUUAUUUACUUACUAAAGAUUGAAUUAUAUAUAUAUAUAUAUAUAAUAUAAUAUUAUUGGUAAUAAAGGAAAAAGCUUACUGCCAUGGAGAUAAUUAGGUAACUAGACACAGACUAAAGUAACAAAAAAAGAUGCUUCUGAAAUUAAUAAUAUGAUAUUGAUGCCUUUGUUUCAACUUUGGAUUUAAAUGUUGUGUAGAUCAAAUUAAACAAAAAAAAAAAAGGAGUAGGUGGUAUCUAUUUUCGUUUGUACGGACUUUAUUCUAUAACGAAUCAAUGGAAUGGAUGAUAUAUAUAUAUAUAUAUGUUGGUUUUACAUUUACUUACGUUCCAUAUACGAAGCUUGGAGUAAUUGAUGACGUAGUAGGCCAUGGCAAAGUGAACCUGGUUCUGUGGUGGAUAAAUAGGCUCGAUCUCCCGAACAAUGCAACCUUGGGACCUCAAAAUCUCUCGGUGUUCCUCAGGCACAUCGGGCAAGAUAGCAACUACAAGAGGGUAUGCACUCUUGACCUUGCGCAAACCCUUGGCCAAUCCAACCACCCCUUUAACGUAAUCACCAUUACCAGCUAAAAAUGUUACGUAAGCCUUCUUCGAGUAGCCUCCGUUAACCUUGCCCGAGGUUGAAAAGACGUCCAAGGGCACUCCCGGGGCCAUUUCUACUGCAAGCUUUUUAAGUGAUCUAUAGAGGUGAUGAUCAGAAAAUGUGGAGAGGGGCCAAGAGGCUUAGUUUUGAGGAGUGGGAGGAAAGUAAACCAGCAAACUUUUAGGAUGCUUGCCACCCUACUAACCUUUACU